This 253-nucleotide ribosomal RNA is filed under the name uncultured bacterium. Its description in RNAcentral is "partial 16S ribosomal RNA". It matches the Rfam family "Bacterial small subunit ribosomal RNA", at positions 524 to 776 of the family's 1533-position model. The record is from RNAcentral.
UACAGAGGGGGCAAGCGUUGUUCGGAAUUACUGGGCGUAAAGGGCGCGUAGGCGGCCUUCUAAGUCGCACGUGAAAUCCCUGGGCUCAACCCAGGAACUGCGUCCGAUACUGGAAGGCUUGAAUCCGGGAGAGGGAUGCGGAAUUCCAGGUGUAGCGGUGAAAUGCGUAGAUAUCUGGAGGAACACCGGUGGCGAAGGCGGCAUCCUGGACCGGUAUUGAUGCUGAGGCGCGAAAGCCAGGGGAGCAAACGGG